GAGCGGAAAGGCCUUCGGGGUCACUCGAGCUGCGAACGGGUGAGUACACGUGAGUAACUGUCCUUGGCUUUGGGAUAACCCUCGGAGACGGGGGCGAAUGACGGAUAUGACCUUGUCCUGCGUGGGGUGGGGUGGAAAGUUUUUCGGCUAGGGGUGGGCUCGCGGCCUAUCAGCUUGUUGGUGGGGUGAUGGCCUACCAAGGCGACGACGGGUAGCCGGCCUGAGAGGGCGACCGGCCACACUGGGACGGAGACACGGCCCAGACUCCUACGGGAGGCAGCAGUGGGGAAUAUUGCACAAUGGGCGGAAGCCUGAUGCAGCGACGCCGCGUGAGGGAUGACGGCCUUCGGGUUGUAAACCUCUUU
RNAcentral lists this ribosomal RNA (365 nucleotides) under uncultured Micromonosporaceae bacterium. RNAcentral's name for it is "bacterial SSU rRNA". It matches the Rfam family "Bacterial small subunit ribosomal RNA", at positions 64 to 436 of the family's 1533-position model. The record is from RNAcentral. Lineage: Bacteria; Bacillati; Actinomycetota; Actinomycetes; Micromonosporales; Micromonosporaceae.